GAUGAACGCUGGCGGCGUGCCUAAUACAUGCAAGUCGAGCGAACAGACGAGGAGCUUGCUCCUCUGACGUUAGCGGCGGACGGGUGAGUAACACGUGGAUAACCUACCUAUAAGACUGGGAUAACUUCGGGAAACCGGAGCUAAUACCGUAUAAUAUAUUGAACCGCAUGGUUCAAUAGUGAAAGACGGUUUUGCUGUCACUUAUAGAUGGAUCCGCGCCGCAUUAGCUAGUUGGUAAGGUAACGGCUUACCAAGGCAACGAUGCGUAGCCGACCUGAGAGGGUGAUCGGCCACACUGGAACUGAGACACGGUCCAGACUCCUACGGGAGGCAGCAGUUGGGAAUCUUCCGCAAUGGGCGAAAGCCUGACGGAGCAACGCCGCGUGAGUGAUGAAGGUCUUCGGAUCGUAAAACUCUGUUAUUAGGGAAGAACAAAUGUGUAAGUAACUAUGCACGUCUUGACGGUACCUAAUCAGAAAGCCACGGCUAACUACGUG
This 497-nucleotide ribosomal RNA is filed under the name uncultured bacterium. RNAcentral's name for it is "partial 16S ribosomal RNA". It matches the Rfam family "Bacterial small subunit ribosomal RNA", at positions 28 to 507 of the family's 1533-position model. The record is from RNAcentral.